GUCGUGAGAUGUUGGGUUAAGUCCCGCAACGAGCGCAACCCUUGUCCCUAGUUGCUACGCAAGGGCACUCUAGGGAGACUGCCGGUGACAAACCGGAGGAAGGUGGGGAUGACGUCAAGUCCUCAUGGCCCUUAUGGGUAGGGCUUCACACGUCAUACAAUGGCCGGUACAGAGGGUUGCCAACCCGCGAGGGGGAGCCAAUCCCAGAAAGCCGGUCGUAGUCCGGAUUGCAGUCUGCAACUCGACUGCAUGAAGUCGGAAUCGCUAGUAAUCGCGGAUCAGCAUGUCGCGGUGAAUACGUUCCCGGGUCUUGUACACACCGCCCGUCACACCAUGGGAGCGGGAUGUACCAGAAGUAGGUAGGCUAACCGCAAGGGGGCCGCUUACCACGGUGCGUUUCGUGACUGGGGUGAAGUCGUAACAAGGUAGCCGUAUCGGAAGGUGCGGCUGGAUCACCUCCUUUCUCGGAAAUAGCCCGAGUGUCAGUACCCACUCCUAUCGGUUGCAGCGCGCGGAUGGCAAAUGAGGACAUUUCCAUUCACCGCAGCAGCAUGACGCCGGACAACGGGCCUGUAGCUCAGUUGGUUAGAGCACCGUCUUGAUAAGGCGGGGGUCGAUGGUUCGAAUCCAUCCAGACCCACCAGGUUGAGCAAGCGCGACAGUAUCGCGAGUCAAUCGAGGCGCGCGGGCCCGACGUGUACAAGAUCAGUACACGAGGGCCCAAGCAACGAAGAGUGACGAAGCGAGCGGGGGUGUAGCUCAGUUGGGAGAGCGCCUGCUUUGCAAGCAGGAGGCCAUCGGUUCGAUCCCGUUCACCUCCACCAUUCAGGAAGCCGAGGCCGGGAAGCAUGAAUCACCUAUCGGUUGCGCAUCACGCAGCAUUCAACCCUCGUCGUUCGACGAGUGACGAGAGUUGAAAGCUGUAUUGUUCUUUAACAAUUCGGAAGGCAAGGGUUCAUCUGGACUUGAUGAGAGUCCGGGUGGACAUAGGGUUGAGUUGUAUCUUGCUGUCAUUCUUUAAAAGGGGAAUGACAGUGGCGCAAACACGCCAUGACAGUGUGUCCUGUAGCAGGCAACUGCGAGGGCCCACAGUUAUGGGGUCAAGUGACUAAGUGCAUGUGGUGGAUGCCUUGGCGAUUACAGGCGACGAAGGACGUGGCAGCCUGCGAAAAGCUCCGGGGAGCUGGCAAACAAGCUUUGAUCCGGAGAUGU
This 1212-nucleotide small RNA is filed under the name uncultured beta proteobacterium. RNAcentral describes it as "bacterial SSU rRNA". The stretch from base 1 to 463 matches the Rfam family "Bacterial small subunit ribosomal RNA", at positions 1064 to 1533 of the family's 1533-position model. The record is from RNAcentral. Lineage: Bacteria; Pseudomonadati; Pseudomonadota; Betaproteobacteria.